GUGCCAGCAGCCGCGGUAAUACGGAGGGUGCAAACGUUGUUCGGAAUCACUGGGCGUAAAGGGCGCGCAGGCGGUUUGAUUAGUCAGAUGUGAAAGCCCACGGCUUAACCGUGGAAGUGCAUUUGAAACUGUCGGACUUGAGUACCAGAGGGGGGUAGUGGAAUUCCCGGUGUAGGGGUGAAAUUCGUAGAUAUCGGGAGGAAUACCGGUGGCGAAGGCGACUACCUGGCUGGAUACUGACGCUGAGGCGCGAAAGCGUGGGGGAGCAAACAGGAUUAGAUACCCUGGUAGUCCACGCCGUAAACGAUGUCAACUAGAUGUAGGGGGUGUUGAUCCCCUCUGUGUCGGAGCUAACGCAUUAAGUUGACCGCCUGGGGAGUACGGUCGCAAGAUUAAAACUCAAGGGAAUUGACGG
This 415-nucleotide ribosomal RNA is filed under the name uncultured bacterium. RNAcentral describes it as "bacterial SSU rRNA". It matches the Rfam family "Bacterial small subunit ribosomal RNA", at positions 505 to 916 of the family's 1533-position model. The record is from RNAcentral.